UGACCCCUGCGGUGUUCGUAUCAAAGGCGUGUAUUUGAAGGAACCGAUACCCGUACUAAGGGAGGUCAGGCCUUGUCGGACCGGAAACGCCCGCUCGCUGGGACUUUCGGACGCAAGCAACGAUCACCCACCUGAAAGUAAUGGGUUCCCUUCAAUCGCCUCUUUUACGGCACAGGUGGAGGUGAG
This 186-nucleotide non-coding RNA is filed under the name Planctomycetes bacterium RBG_13_62_9. RNAcentral's name for it is "6S RNA". It matches the Rfam family "6S / SsrS RNA". From Rfam's summary of the family: E. coli 6S RNA was the first non coding RNA to be sequenced, but its function was unknown until recently. It consists of 184 nucleotides that fold into an extended hairpin structure with a large single-stranded internal bulge. The 6S RNA specifically associates with RNA polymerase holoenzyme containing the sigma70 specificity factor. The record is from RNAcentral. Lineage: Bacteria; Pseudomonadati; Planctomycetota.